GAUGAACGCUGGCGGCAUGCCUAAUACAUGCAAGUCGAACGAAGAAUACUUUAUGGAAGUGUGCUUGCACAUGGAAGCAAAGACCAUUCUUAGUGGCGAACGGGUGAGUAACACGUAGGUAACCUACCAUAGAGACUGGGAUAACGAUUGGAAACGAUAGCUAAUACCGGAUAGGUAAUAAGGACACAUGUCAAUAUUAUUAAAGAUGCUACGGCAUCACUGUAUGAUGGACCUGCGGUGCAUUAGUUAGUUGGUGAGGUAGAGGCUCACCAAGACGAUGAUGCAUAGCCGACCUGAGAGGGUGAACGGCCACAUUGGGACUGAGACACGGCCCAGACUCCUACGGGAGGCAGCAGUAGGGAAUUUUCGUCAAUGGGCGCAAGCCUGAACGAGCAAUGCCGCGUGAGUGAAGAAGGAUUUCGGUCUGUAAAGCUCUGUUGUAAAGGAAGAACGUCUACUAGAGGGAAUGCUAGUAGAGUGACGGUACUUUACCAGAAAGCCACGGCUAACUACGUGCCAGCCGCCGC
Molecule: ribosomal RNA, 527 nt
Filed under: uncultured bacterium
Lineage: Bacteria
Description: bacterial SSU rRNA
Rfam family: Bacterial small subunit ribosomal RNA
Source: RNAcentral